Molecule: ribosomal RNA, 616 nt
Filed under: uncultured bacterium
Lineage: Bacteria
Description: bacterial SSU rRNA
Rfam family: Bacterial small subunit ribosomal RNA
Source: RNAcentral
CCUACGGGAGGCAGCAGUGGGGAAUUUUGGACAAUGGGCGCAAGCCUGAUCCAGCAAUGCCGCGUGAGUGAAGAAGGCCUUCGGGUUGUAAAGCUCUUUUGUCAGGGAAGAAACGGUGAGAGCUAAUAUCUCUUGCUAAUGACGGUACCUGAAGAAUAAGCACCGGCUAACUACGUGCCAGCAGCCGCGGUAAUACGUAGGGUGCAAGCGUUAAUCGGAAUUACUGGGCGUAAAGCGUGCGCAGGCGGUUUUGUAAGUUUGUCGUGAAAGCCCCGGGCUCAACCUGGGAAUUGCGAUGAAGACUGCAAGGCUUGAAUCUGGCAGAGGGGGGUAGAAUUCCACGUGUAGCAGUGAAAUGCGUAGAGAUGUGGAGGAACACCGAUGGCGAAGGCAGCCCCCUGGGUCAAGAUUGACGCUCAUGCACGAAAGCGUGGGGAGCAAACAGGAUUAGAUACCCUGGUAGUCCAGCCCUAAACGAUGUCUACUAGUUGUCGGGUUUUAAUUAACUUGGUAACGCAGCUAACGCGUGAAGUAGACCGCCUGGGGAUACGGUGCAAGNUUAAAACGUUAAUGAAAUUGACCGGNNGAGAGNGACGAGACGACGACGAGGAGGAGG